Molecule: ribosomal RNA, 478 nt
Filed under: uncultured bacterium
Lineage: Bacteria
Description: partial 16S ribosomal RNA
Rfam family: Bacterial small subunit ribosomal RNA
Source: RNAcentral
GACGAACGCUGGCGGCGUGCUUAACACAUGCAAGUCGAGCGAUGAAGUUCCUUCGGGAAUGGAUUAGCGGCGGACGGGUGAGUAACACGUGGGUAACCUGCCUCAUAGAGGGGAAUAGCCUUUCGAAAGGCAGAUUAAUACCGCAUAAGAUUGUAGUUUCGCAGGAAACAGCAAUUAAAGGAGUAAUCCGCUAUGAGAUGGACCCGCGUCGCAUUAGCUAGUUGGUGAGGUAACGGCUCACCAAGGCGACGAUGCGUAGCCGACCUGAGAGGGUGAUCGGCCACAUUGGGACUGGGACACGGCCCAGACUCCUACGGGAGGCAGCAGUGGGGAAUAGUGCACAAUGGGGGAAACCCUGAUGCAGCAACGCCGCGUGAGUGAUGACGGUCUUCGGAUUGUAAAACUCUGUCUUCAGGGACGAUAAUGACGGUACCUGAGGAGGAAGCCACGGCUAACUACGUGCCAGCCGCCGCGGUAA